Mesocricetus auratus (golden hamster) is the source of this 424-nucleotide long non-coding RNA. RefSeq lists it as uncharacterized. NCBI's taxonomy places the organism in Eukaryota, Metazoa, Chordata, Mammalia, Rodentia, Cricetidae. The transcript has 2 exons. The record is from RefSeq and is a predicted model, not a curated record.
CCUGACACCUCUCCCAAGUCAAUGGUGGGAGAAGCCUGGAUCCCUUCACAGACAUUCUCCAGGGCUGCUCAUAAAGAUGGCCCUGCAGUCCGAACCACACUUCCAGGACAGAAAUCACUCUACAGCUCUUCUUCAUCUCUCCUAGGCUAGGGAGAUACACUUCUGCCUGGAAGAUCACUUGAACUUACUGCUCCCUAGUGAAAGACCUUGACAUCCUCUCCCAGACCACUGCCCUGUGGAAUGUCUUACCAGGCGACUCAGCUUUCAACCUCCAUCUGAAGAUCUCACUGAUGAGAACUGCUUUUGAAAGAGCAGUCUCUGCCUAUGGUUGAUCUACCUGCCCCUGACAUGUUUUAUUUGUUUCAUUUUGGUCUUAAAUGGAACCUCCUCCUGUUAAUGGAAUAAAUGCUGCCUAAUUUUCUUU